This 413-nucleotide ribosomal RNA is filed under the name uncultured bacterium. RNAcentral's name for it is "bacterial SSU rRNA". The stretch from base 57 to 413 matches the Rfam family "Bacterial small subunit ribosomal RNA", at positions 1 to 359 of the family's 1533-position model. The record is from RNAcentral.
CAUACAAAGAAGAAUAAGGUUAGUAUAUUUAUAUUGAUUUUAACAUAUAAAAACAUACGAUGAAGAGUUUUGAUCCUGGCUCAGGAUGAACGCUAGCGGCAGGCCUAACACAUGCAAGUCGAGGGGUAGAAUUAGCUUGCUAAUUUGAGACCGGCGCACGGGUGCGUAACGCGUAUGCAAUCUACCUUGUACAGGGGGAUAGCCCAGAGAAAUUUGGAUUAAUACCCCAUGGUAUAAUUAAUUUGCAUGAAUUGAUUAUUAAAGUUCCAACGGUACAAGAUGAGCAUGCGUCCCAUUAGCUAGUUGGUGUGGUAACGGCAUACCAAGGCGACGAUGGGUAGGGGUCCUGAGAGGGAGAUCCCCCACACUGGUACUGAGACACGGACCAGACUCCUACGGGAGGCAGCAGGCGA